AGUCUAGCUGCAGAGGACCUGAGAGGUCAGCCCAGGCUCCCUUCCUUAGGGCGGAUCCUAGGGCUCUCCUUACUAAACAUCCCAUACUCACAACUCCUUUCCCAAAUCGGUUUCCCAGAGAACUCCAGUGCUUUCAUGUGGUUGCAGAUAUUGCCAAGAAUGAAAGCACAUCGGCUUGGUAUCCUAGGACUAGUAUGCCAGCUAAACAACGAUAAAGGAGCUACAAAUCCCGGUUUCCACAGGUUGGGAUUCUCCUGGGGUCGUGAUCUCCCAGCAUUUGCGGAGAGAUAGAUGCCUGCUUGCCUAGUGGCCUUGAACCUCAACGAGGCUUCCCAGGGAGAAUUUUGGAUGAAGACCUUUAUAAAGGGAGUGAAGAUUGUAAGCGUUGAGGGACUCGAGACACUGUGAGUGAGAAAACCAGUUUUCUUUUGGAUAUUCAUCUGAAGGUAACUACAGGUGAGGGACCC
Molecule: long non-coding RNA, 467 nt
Filed under: Macaca mulatta (Rhesus monkey)
Lineage: Eukaryota; Metazoa; Chordata; Mammalia; Primates; Cercopithecidae
Description: lncRNA (ENSMMUG00000064916.1)
Source: RNAcentral